ACAUGCAGAGAACUUUACCAGAGAUGGAUUGGUGCCUUCGGGAACGUACUGACACAGGUGCUGCAUGGCUGUCGUCAGCUCGUGUCGUGAGAUGUUGGGUUAAGUCCGUAACGAGCGCAACCCUUGUCCUUAGUUACCAGCACGUUAUGGUGGGCACUCUAAGGAGACUGCCGGUGACAAACCGGAGGAAGGUGGGGAUGACGUCAAGUCAUCAUGGCCCUUGCGGCCUGGGCUACACACGUGCUACAAUGGUCGGUACAAAGGGUUGCCAAGCCGCGAGGUGGAGCUAAUCCCAUAAAACCGAUCGUAGUCCGGAUCGCAGUCUGCAACUCGACUGCGUGAAGUCGGAAUCGCUAGUAAUCGUGAAUCAGAAUGUCACGGUGAAUACGUUCCCGGGCCUU
Molecule: ribosomal RNA, 401 nt
Filed under: uncultured Pseudomonas sp.
Lineage: Bacteria; Pseudomonadati; Pseudomonadota; Gammaproteobacteria; Pseudomonadales; Pseudomonadaceae
Description: bacterial SSU rRNA
Rfam family: Bacterial small subunit ribosomal RNA
Source: RNAcentral